GACGAACGCUGGCGGCGUGCUUAACACAUGCAAGUCGAACGGAAAGGCCCUGCUUUUGUGGGGUGCUCGAGUGGCGAACGGGUGAGUAACACGUGAGUAACCUGCCCUUGACUUUGGGAUAACUUCAGGAAACUGGGGCUACUACCGGAUAGGAGCUCCUGCUGCAUGGUGGGGGUUGGAAAGUUUCGGCGGUUGGGGAUGGACUCCCGGCUUAUCAGCUUGUUGGUGGGGUAGUGGCUUACCAAGGCUUUGACGGGUAGCCGGCCUGAGAGGGUGACCGGCCACAUUGGGACUGAGAUACGGCGCAGACUCCUACGGGAGGCAGCAGUGGGGAAUAUGGCACAAUGGGCGGAAGCCUGAUGCAGCAACGCCGCGUGCGGGAUGACGGCCUUCGGGUUGUAAACCGCAUUCGCCUGUGACGAAGCGUGAGUGACGGUAAUGGGUAAAGAAGCACCGGCUAACUACGUG
This 468-nucleotide ribosomal RNA is filed under the name uncultured bacterium. RNAcentral describes it as "partial 16S ribosomal RNA". It matches the Rfam family "Bacterial small subunit ribosomal RNA", at positions 28 to 507 of the family's 1533-position model. The record is from RNAcentral.